CUGGCCACAAGACCAUGAUGAUUUGGGAUGUCCUGUAACAGUACCAGCUGCAGGCUGCACCUGCAUUUGUCUAAGGAGCCCGUGAUGCUGACGUCCUCCAGACUUCAAACUGGCUCUUCUGCGUCAGGUGU
Long non-coding RNA from Condylura cristata (star-nosed mole), 131 nucleotides. RefSeq lists it as uncharacterized. The transcript is spliced from 3 exons. The record is from RefSeq and is a predicted model, not a curated record. Lineage: Eukaryota; Metazoa; Chordata; Mammalia; Eulipotyphla; Talpidae.